UAUAUUUAUGAAAAUACUAUUGAUACAUUCUAAUAUACUUUUGUAAACUAUAGGUUACAAUGAAACACUGAGGAUGGCAAAUAUCUUACCUGGGUUAAUGAGAAAAGUUAUAAGAGAUAUUAAAUAUAAAGGAGCUUGACUCUCACACUAUAUCAAAAAAUUGCACACCAUUUGGAGGAGGAAUAAGACAAUGUGUUGGAGCCGAGUACACCAAAGUGACAAUCACAAUAUUCUUUCAUGUCUUGGUAACCAAAUAUAGGUGGACACAUAUCAAGGAAGGAAAGGUUGUCCGAUUUCCAAUGUUAAGAUUUGGAAAGGGUCUUCAUGUUAAGCUCUUUGAAAAGCUUUAGCUCAAUAUUAUGAUGUAUUUCUUUUAUGAAUAAUAUUUAUAUAAAAGGCAAUGA
This is a long non-coding RNA of Mercurialis annua (annual mercury), 404 nucleotides long. RefSeq lists it as uncharacterized. The transcript is spliced from 3 exons. The record is from RefSeq and is a predicted model, not a curated record. NCBI's taxonomy places the organism in Eukaryota, Viridiplantae, Streptophyta, Magnoliopsida, Malpighiales, Euphorbiaceae.